RNAcentral lists this ribosomal RNA (253 nucleotides) under uncultured bacterium. RNAcentral describes it as "partial 16S ribosomal RNA". It matches the Rfam family "Bacterial small subunit ribosomal RNA", at positions 524 to 776 of the family's 1533-position model. The record is from RNAcentral.
UACGAAGGGGGCUAGCGUUGCUCGGAAUUACUGGGCGUAAAGCGCACGUAGGCGGACUCUUAAGUCGGUGGUGAAAUCCUGGAGCUCAACUCCAGAACUGCCUUCGAUACUGGGAGUCUCGAGUUCGGGAGAGGUGAGUGGAACUGCGAGUGUAGAGGUGAAAUUCGUAGAUAUUCGCAAGAACACCAGUGGCGAAGGCGGCUCACUGGCCCGAUACUGACGCUGAGGUGCGAAAGCGUGGGGAGUAAACAGG